GCUGGAUUCGCUAGUAAUCGCGCAUCAGCCACGGCGCGGUGAAUACGUCCCCGGGCCUUGUACACACCGCCCGUCAAGCCAUGGAAGCCGGGAGUGCCUGAAGUACGCGACCGCAAGGAGCGUCCUAAGGUAAAACCGGUGACUGGGGCUAAGUCGUAACAAGGUAAC
RNAcentral lists this ribosomal RNA (168 nucleotides) under uncultured bacterium. Its description in RNAcentral is "partial 16S ribosomal RNA". It matches the Rfam family "Bacterial small subunit ribosomal RNA", at positions 1325 to 1500 of the family's 1533-position model. The record is from RNAcentral.